Molecule: transfer RNA, 73 nt
Filed under: Pangasianodon hypophthalmus (striped catfish)
Lineage: Eukaryota; Metazoa; Chordata; Actinopteri; Siluriformes; Pangasiidae
Rfam family: tRNA
About the family: Transfer RNA (tRNA) molecules are approximately 80 nucleotides in length. Their secondary structure includes four short double-helical elements and three loops (D, anti-codon, and T loops). Further hydrogen bonds mediate the characteristic L-shaped molecular structure. tRNAs have two regions of fundamental functional importance: the anti-codon, which is responsible for specific mRNA codon recognition, and the 3' end, to which the tRNAs corresponding amino acid is attached (by aminoacyl-tRNA synthetases). tRNAs cope with the degeneracy of the genetic code in two manners: having more than one tRNA (with a specific anti-codon) for a particular amino acid; and 'wobble' base-pairing, i.e. permitting non-standard base-pairing at the 3rd anti-codon position.
Source: Rfam by way of RNAcentral
GUUUCUGUAGUGUAGUGGUUAUCACGUUCAGCCUAACACGCUGAAAGGUCCCCGGUUCAAACCGGCAGAAACA